This 515-nucleotide ribosomal RNA is filed under the name uncultured bacterium. RNAcentral's name for it is "partial 16S ribosomal RNA". It matches the Rfam family "Bacterial small subunit ribosomal RNA", at positions 28 to 523 of the family's 1533-position model. The record is from RNAcentral.
GAUGAACGCUGGCGGCGUGCCUAAUACAUGCAAGUCGAGCGAAUGGAUUAAGAGCUUGCUCUUAUGAAGUUAGCGGCGGACGGGUGAGUAACACGUGGGUAACCUGCCCAUAAGACUGGGAUAACUCCGGGAAACCGGGGCUAAUACCGGAUAACAUUUUGAACCGCAUGGUUCGGAAUUGAAAGGCGGCUUCGGCUGUCACUUAUGGAUGGACCCGCGUCGCAUUAGCUAGUUGGUGAGGUCACGGCUCACCAAGGCAACGAUGCGUAGCCGACCUGGGAGGGUGAUCGGCCACACUGGGACUGAGACACGGCCCAGACUCCUACGGGAGGCAGCAGUAGGGAAUCUUCCGCAAUGGACGAAAGUCUGACGGAGCAACGCCGCGUGAGUGAUGAAGGCUUUCGGGUCGUAAAACUCUGUUGUUAGGGAAGAACAAGUGCUAGUUGAAUAAGCUGGCACCUUGACGGUACCUAACCAGAAAGCCACGGCUAACUACGUGCCAGCAGCCGCCGCAG